UGAGGAAUAUUGGUCAAUAGGCGAGAGCCUGAACCAGCCAAGUAGCGUGCAGGAAGACGGCCCUAUGGGUUGUAAACUGCUUUUAUGUGGGGAUAAAGUGCGUGACGUGUCAUGCAUUGCAGGUACCACAUGAAUAAGGACCGGCUAAUUCCGUGCCAGCAGCCGCGGUAAUACGGAAGGUCCGGGCGUUAUCCGGAUUUAUUGGGUUUAAAGGGAGCGUAGGCUGUCUAUUAAGCGUGUUGUGAAAUAUACCGGCUCAACCGGUGGCUUGCAGCGCGAACUGGUCGACUUGAGUAUGCAGGAAGUAGGCGGAAUUCAUGGUGUAGCGGUGAAAUGCUUAGAUAUCAUGACGAACUCCGAUUGCGCAGGCAGCUUACUGUAGCAUAACUGACGCUGAUGCUCGAAAGUGCGGGUAUCAAACAGG
Molecule: ribosomal RNA, 424 nt
Filed under: Verrucomicrobiota bacterium
Lineage: Bacteria; Pseudomonadati; Verrucomicrobiota
Description: Verrucomicrobia bacterium partial 16S ribosomal RNA
Rfam family: Bacterial small subunit ribosomal RNA
Source: RNAcentral